This 253-nucleotide ribosomal RNA is filed under the name uncultured bacterium. RNAcentral's name for it is "partial 16S ribosomal RNA". It matches the Rfam family "Bacterial small subunit ribosomal RNA", at positions 524 to 776 of the family's 1533-position model. The record is from RNAcentral.
UACGAAGGGGGCUAGCGUUGCUCGGAAUUACUGGGCGUAAAGGGCGCGUAGGCGGACAGUUUAGUCAGAGGUGAAAGCCCAGGGCUCAACCUUGGAAUUGCCUUUGAUACUGGCUGUCUUGAGUUCGGGAGAGGUGAGUGGAAUGCCGAGUGUAGAGGUGAAAUUCGUAGAUAUUCGGCGGAACACCAGUGGCGAAGGCGAGUCCCUGGACAACUCCUGACACUGAGGCACGAAAGCUAGGGGAGCAAACAGG